GUCGCGGCGACGGCGUCACGCCGUCGCCCAGACGCACCAUGGUGGUGCGCCGCGGCGACGGCGUCGCGCCGU
Molecule: transfer RNA, 72 nt
Filed under: Pelagomonas calceolata
Lineage: Eukaryota; Pelagophyceae; Pelagomonadales; Pelagomonadaceae
Source: RNAcentral